RNAcentral lists this microRNA precursor (84 nucleotides) under Bombyx mori (domestic silkworm). RNAcentral's name for it is "mir-2807 microRNA precursor family". It matches the Rfam family "mir-2807 microRNA precursor family". Lineage: Eukaryota; Metazoa; Arthropoda; Insecta; Lepidoptera; Bombycidae. The record is from Rfam by way of RNAcentral.
UUAACUUAAAUUUGUAUGGAGUUCAAACAUUUGCUGACGUUUGCCGCUAGGGGCGCUUUUCCAAUUGCAUACAAAUUUGAGCUA